Small nuclear RNA from Saimiri boliviensis boliviensis (Bolivian squirrel monkey), 103 nucleotides. The record is from RefSeq and is a predicted model, not a curated record. NCBI's taxonomy places the organism in Eukaryota, Metazoa, Chordata, Mammalia, Primates, Cebidae.
GUGCUCGCUUCAGCAGCACAUAUACUAAAAUUGGAACGAUGCAGGGAAGAUUAGCAUGGCUCCUGCGCAGGAAAAAAAAAAAAAAAAAGAGUAAGUGAUAUGC